Molecule: long non-coding RNA, 255 nt
Filed under: Musa acuminata (dwarf banana)
Lineage: Eukaryota; Viridiplantae; Streptophyta; Magnoliopsida; Zingiberales; Musaceae
Description: long non-coding RNA (MACU_LNC009028)
Source: RNAcentral
AAAAUUCAUGAAUUGUCAGCCUCGAGGACAAGGCUGAUUUGAAGAGGGCGGGUAUGUUAUGACUCUAGCUAGGAGAGUCCUAAUUGAGAGGGACAUUCAUGUAAAACCUACCUAAGCCGACCCCUAUUAAAGAGGUGAAGAGGCCGUCUAGGGUUAGGAGGUUGUUUCUUAGAGAAGAAUUACGAGUUUUAAAGGAAUAGGAGUCUUGAGUAGAAGUCCUAUUAGGAGUUGGUUAGAAGUAGGAGUCUUGAGUAG